AGCCAAGGGAACGGGCUU
Molecule: non-coding RNA, 18 nt
Filed under: Arabidopsis thaliana (thale cress)
Lineage: Eukaryota; Viridiplantae; Streptophyta; Magnoliopsida; Brassicales; Brassicaceae
Also listed under: 2 other names
Source: RNAcentral